AGAGUUUGAUCAUGGCUCAGAUUGAACGCUGGCGGAAUGCUUUACACAUGCAAGUCGAGCGGCAGCGCGGGGCAACCUGGCGGCGAGCGGCGAACGGGUGAGUAACACAUCGGAACGUAUCCAGUCGUGGGGGAUAGCCCGGCGAAAGCCGGAUUAAUACCGCAUACGACCUGAGGGUGAAAGUGGGGGAUCGCAAGACCUCACGCGAAUGGAGCGGCCGAUGUCCGAUUAGCUAGUUGGUGAGGUAAAGGCUCACCAAGGCGACGAUCGGUAGCUGGUCUGAGAGGAUGAUCAGCCACACUGGGACUGAGACACGGCCCAGACUCCUACGGGAGGCAGCAGUGGGGAAUUUUGGACAAUGGGGGAAACCCUGAUCCAGCCAUUCCGCGUGAGUGAAGAAGGCCUUCGGGUUGUAAAGCUCUUUCGGCAGGAACGAAACGGUUACGGCGAAUACCCGUGACCACUGACGGUACCUGAAGAAGAAGCACCGGCUAACUACGUGCCAGCAGCCGCGGUAAUACGUAGGGUGCGAGCGUUAAUCGGAAUUACUGGGCGUAAAGCGUGCGCAGGCGGUUAUGCAAGCCAGACGUGAAAGCCCCGGGCUUAACCUGGGAAUGGCGUUUGGGACUGCAUGGCUAGAGUACGUCAGAGGGGGGUGGAAUUCCACGUAGCAGUGAAAUGCGUAGAGAUGUGGAGGAACACCGAUGGCGAAGGCAGCCCCCUGGGAUGAUACUGACGCUCAGGCACGAAAGCGUGGGGAGCAAACAGGAUUAGAUACCCUAGUAGUCC
This 789-nucleotide ribosomal RNA is filed under the name uncultured bacterium. Its description in RNAcentral is "bacterial SSU rRNA". It matches the Rfam family "Bacterial small subunit ribosomal RNA", at positions 8 to 796 of the family's 1533-position model. The record is from RNAcentral.